AUGCAUCUUGGUGAGCGUAGGAAAAUUUUAAAUUAUGCUACGAUUCCCAUCAGGGGGCUCGGGAAUGGCCCGGUAGUUCAUAGCCUCCUUGAUUUGGGGAGGAUGGAGGAGCCCGACGUGCUGUUCUUGGCUGAGACGAAAUUGACAGAGAAGGAGUUGGAGAAGUUUCGGUGGUCGCUGGGUUUGGCGAACAUGACGGCAUGGAAUCCUGUGGGUCGUAGUCGAGGUGUGGCUCUAUUUUGGAGGAGGGGGAUAAGCAUAUCGUUAAGAUCAUAUGGGAGGCGGCAUGUUGAUGUGGAUGUCACGGAGGAGGAUGGGAGGAUAUGGAGACUUACGGGGGUUUAUGGUGAAUCAGAACUGGAGCGGAAAGUGGAAACUUGGAAGAUGAUGCGCAUCCUCGGACAGCAACACCAAAAUGGACGGCCUUGGUUGUGCCUGGGAGACUUCAACGAGAUUUUAACCUGGGAUGAGAAGAUUGGGGGUGUUGUUCGCCCUCAACGGUUCAUGGAUAACUUUAGGGGAGCUUUGGAGGCGUGCGAGCUAUGUGAUAUUUGUUAUGAAGGAGACAAAUUCACGUGGAGAAAUCACAGCAAGGAGGUGGAUACGUAUAUUUGCGAACACCUUGAUAGGGCAACGGCCAACGCAAAAUGGUGCGAGUGGUUUCCUGACUUCACUGUUGUCAAUGGGGCCCCUUGA
RNAcentral lists this ribosomal RNA (696 nucleotides) under Triticum aestivum (bread wheat). Its description in RNAcentral is "partial small subunit ribosomal RNA". Lineage: Eukaryota; Viridiplantae; Streptophyta; Magnoliopsida; Poales; Poaceae. The record is from RNAcentral.